GCCCACUGGUGGGGUCCCAGGAAGCAGGAUAAAGUGAGGUGACAGGACAAGCCAAGGCAUGGAGAGGAGCAAAGAAUUGAACCGAGGUUGGUUACACGCCGCUUUCCCGGGAAGCUUCGGUACCUUGCAGGAACCGGAACUCAAGCAGAGUUACACACUG
This 160-nucleotide long non-coding RNA is filed under the name Fukomys damarensis (Damara mole-rat). RNAcentral describes it as "lncRNA (ENSFDAG00000024997.1)". Lineage: Eukaryota; Metazoa; Chordata; Mammalia; Rodentia; Bathyergidae. The record is from RNAcentral.